AGCAAUGGGCCGCACAUACGUAUCGC
RNAcentral lists this small RNA (26 nucleotides) under Bombyx mori (domestic silkworm). Its description in RNAcentral is "ovarian small RNA-12025". The record is from RNAcentral. Lineage: Eukaryota; Metazoa; Arthropoda; Insecta; Lepidoptera; Bombycidae.